GAUGAACGCUAGCGGCAGGCUUAACACAUGCAAGUCGAGGGGCAGCGAGUAGAUUGCUUGCAAUCUAUGUCGGCGACCGGCGCACGGGUGCGUAACGCGUAUGCAACCUACCCAUUACAGGGGGAUAACACUGAGAAAUCGGUACUAAUACCCCAUAACAUCCAGGGAGGCAUCUUCUUGGGUUGAAAACUCCGGUGGUAAUGGAUGGGCAUGCGUUGUAUUAGUUAGUUGGUGGGGUAACGGCUCACCAAGACAACGAUACAUAGGGGGACUGAGAGGUUAACCCCCCACAUUGGUACUGAGACACGGACCAAACUCCUACGGGAGGCAGCAGUGAGGAAUAUUGGUCAAUGGACGCAAGUCUGAACCAGCCAUGCCGCGUGCAGGAAGACGGCUCUAUGAGUUGUAAACUGCUUUUGUACGAGGGUAAACGCAGAUACGUGUAUCUGUCUGAAAGUAUCGUACGAAUAAGGAUCGGCUAACUCCGUGCCAGCAGCCGCGGUAAUACGGAGGAUUCAAGCGUUAUCCGGAUUUAUUGGGUUUAAAGGGUGCGUAGGCGGUCGGAUAAGUUAGAGGUGAAAUCCCGAGGCUCAACUUCGGAAUUGCCUCUGAUACUGUUCGGCUAGAGAGUAGUUGCGGUAGGCGGAAUGUAUGGUGUAGCGGUGAAAUGCUUAGAGAUCAUACAGAACACCGAUUGCGAAGGCAGCUUACCAAGCUACUUCUGACGUUGAGGCACGAAAGCGUGGGGAGCAAACAGGAUUAGAUACCCUGGUAGUCCACGCAGUAAACGAUGAUAACUCGUUGUCGGCGAUACAAUGUCGGUGACUAAGCGAAAGCGAUAAGUUAUCCACCUGGGGAGUACGUUCGCAAGAAUGAAACUCAAAGGAAUUGACGGGGGCCCGCACAAGCGGAGGAACAUGUGGUUUAAUUCGAUGAUACGCGAGGAACCUUACCCGGGCUUGAAAGUUAGUGACAGAUCUGGAAACAGGUCUUCCCUUCGGGGCACGAAACUAGGUGCUGCAUGGUUGUCGUCAGCUCGUGCCGUGAGGUGUCGGGUUAAGUCCCAUAACGAGCGCAACCCCUACCGUCAGUUGCCAGCAGGUCAAGCUGGGCACUCUGGCGGGACUGCCGGUGUAAGCCGAGAGGAAGGUGGGGAUGACGUCAAAUCAGCACGGCCCUUACGUCCGGGGCUACACACGUGUUACAAUGGCAGGUACAGAGGGCAGCUACCCAGCGAUGGGAUGCGAAUCUCGAAAGCCUGUCUCAGUUCGGAUUGGAGGCUGAAACCCGCCUCCAUGAAGUUGGAUUCGCUAGUAAUCGCGCAUCAGCCAUGGCGCGGUGAAU
Molecule: ribosomal RNA, 1344 nt
Filed under: uncultured bacterium
Lineage: Bacteria
Description: partial 16S ribosomal RNA
Rfam family: Bacterial small subunit ribosomal RNA
Source: RNAcentral